RNAcentral lists this ribosomal RNA (578 nucleotides) under Streptomyces sp. RDB-169. Its description in RNAcentral is "bacterial SSU rRNA". It matches the Rfam family "Bacterial small subunit ribosomal RNA", at positions 102 to 694 of the family's 1533-position model. The record is from RNAcentral. Lineage: Bacteria; Bacillati; Actinomycetota; Actinomycetes; Kitasatosporales; Streptomycetaceae. RNAcentral also lists the same sequence under 1 other name.
ACGGGUGAGUAACACGUGGGCAAUCUGCCCUUCACUCUGGGACAAGCCCUGGAAACGGGGUCUAAUACCGGAUAACACUCCUGCCUGCAUGGGCGGGGGUUAAAAGCUCCGGCGGUGAAGGAUGAGCCCGCGGCCUAUCAGCUUGUUGGUGGGGUAAUGGCCUACCAAGGCGACGACGGGUAGCCGGCCUGAGAGGGCGACCGGCCACACUGGGACUGAGACACGGCCCAGACUCCUACGGGAGGCAGCAGUGGGGAAUAUUGCACAAUGGGCGAAAGCCUGAUGCAGCGACGCCGCGUGAGGGAUGACGGCCUUCGGGUUGUAAACCUCUUUCAGCAGGGAAGAAGCGAAAGUGACGGUACCUGCAGAAGAAGCGCCGGCUAACUACGUGCCAGCAGCCGCGGUAAUACGUAGGGCGCAAGCGUUGUCCGGAAUUAUUGGGCGUAAAGAGCUCGUAGGCGGCUUGUCGCGUCGGAUGUGAAAGCCCGGGGCUUAACCCCGGGUCUGCAUUCGAUACGGGCAGGCUAGAGUGUGGUAGGGGAGAUCGGAAUUCCUGGUGUAGCGGUGAAAUGCGCAGA